RNAcentral lists this ribosomal RNA (206 nucleotides) under uncultured bacterium. RNAcentral's name for it is "partial 16S ribosomal RNA". It matches the Rfam family "Bacterial small subunit ribosomal RNA", at positions 524 to 730 of the family's 1533-position model. The record is from RNAcentral.
UACGGAGGGGGCUAGCGUUGUUCGGAAUUACUGGGCGUAAAGCGCACGUAGGCGGCUUUGUAAGUUAGAGGUGAAAGCCCAGGGCUUAACCCUGGAAUUGCCUUUAAGACUGCAUCGCUAGAAUCGUGGAGAGGUGAGUGGAAUUCCGAGUGUAGAGGUGAAAUUCGUAGAUAUUCGGAAGAACACCAGUGGCGCAAGGACGGACU